UGAGGAAUAUUGGUCAAUGGGCGCAAGCCUGAACCAGCCAUGCCGCGUGCAGGAAGACGGUCCUAUGGAUUGUAAACUGCUUUUAUACAGGAAGAAACAUUUCGACGUGUCGAGACUUGACGGUACUGUAGGAAUAAGGAUCGGCUAACUCCGUGCCAGCAGCCGCGGUAAUACGGAGGAUCCAAGCGUUAUCCGGAAUCAUUGGGUUUAAAGGGUUCGUAGGCGGCUUUGUAAGUCAGUGGUGAAAUCUUUCAGCUUAACUGAGAAACUGCCAUUGAUACUGCAGGGCUUGAAUUACUUUGAAGUAACUAGAAUAUGUAGUGUAGCGGUGAAAUGCUUAGAUAUUACAUGGAAUACCAAUUGCGAAGGCAGGUUACUAAGAGUUUAUUGACGCUGAUGA
This 400-nucleotide ribosomal RNA is filed under the name uncultured bacterium. RNAcentral describes it as "bacterial SSU rRNA". It matches the Rfam family "Bacterial small subunit ribosomal RNA", at positions 355 to 752 of the family's 1533-position model. The record is from RNAcentral.